Pollicipes pollicipes is the source of this 250-nucleotide long non-coding RNA. RefSeq lists it as uncharacterized. The record is from RefSeq and is a predicted model, not a curated record. The transcript is spliced from 3 exons. Lineage: Eukaryota; Metazoa; Arthropoda; Thecostraca; Pollicipedomorpha; Pollicipedidae.
AAGACCACAAGUUUGUCAUCAGCAACGUCAACAACCAGACACUGAGUGUCUUCUCACAAACCGUCCCGCCAGCAAACAGCAACGCCGUGGUGCCAGAGACGGAGAAGUUGACUAUGGAGGGCAAGGUCAUCCAGAGGGCGGAGUGCCGACCGAUCGGAAACGAGACGUACAUGCGUCUGAAGUUGGAGGGGUUCCGCAAGUCUGCUGUGCCGACCCGCAUGGCCAAGCGACUGGAUGACGUGGUGCACGU